CGACCGGCGCACGGGUGAGUAACACGUAUCCAACCUGCCGAUGACUCGGGGAUAGCCUUUCGAAAGAAAGAUUAAUACCCGAUGGCAUAGUUCUUCCGCAUGGUAGAACUAUUAAAGAAUUUCGGUCAUCGAUGGAGAUGCGUUCCAUUAGCUUGUUGGCGGGGUAACGGCCCACCAAGGCAUCGAUGGAUAGGGGUUCUGAGAGGAAGGUCCCCCACAUUGGAACUGAGACACGGUCCAAACUCCUACGGGAGGCAGCAG
Molecule: ribosomal RNA, 261 nt
Filed under: uncultured bacterium
Lineage: Bacteria
Description: partial 16S ribosomal RNA
Rfam family: Bacterial small subunit ribosomal RNA
Source: RNAcentral